CGCUGCACCUCUGGGGACCUUCCGCGCCCCAAGUCGGACCAGCAACCCUUUCCCGCCAGCUGAGAGGACCGCCGGGGGAACUGUGGACUCACGUACAAAACCUUUGGUCGCCGAUGCCAUCUUGCGCCCAUUGCGUCCGCCUUACGGGCCCCACGCCGCUGCUAGGUCUGCGGUCUCACGCGUACUGGGCGCUGGAGGAAGCUCCCGGGAGUACGGAACUUUCGCGGUGAUACGCCUCUCUUCUCCGGAAGUGGAACGAGGAGGGAAGGCGCUUCUGGUGUCCUUGCCUCGUUCUGACCGGUGAGGCCGGGAGAAGAACGCCGACCCUUCUGGGGUCUGAAACAGCGUACUCAGCCACCAAAGCGCAUUUCUCUAAACUAUCAAGGAAUAAGAAGAAAUAAUUUAAAGGAGAUUCUGGGUGUCAUCUAAGAAAAAGAAGCCCACAUCUUAAGACCAGAACCUAUGAAAAACUAAGCGUACAUGGCAACACUCCCUUGUUCUCUCAGGCUUCAGCAGAUGAAACAGUCCAUCCUCGCCACCUGGUGGUGAAAAUGAAUAAUGCAUUGGAAACAUUGGUUCUCAGCUUAGAAAAGGGAAAGUGGAAUUUCUGCACACAGCUUUCAUUCAUUCUGGAUAGUCCUACUAUGUUUCAGGGUAAUCCAGGAGCCUCCAAACCCAGCUGCAGCAGACACAGAAAAAGAGCUCAUCUUCCAUUCUCCACCUGGCAGAACCAUCUGCUGUGAUAGUGUCUGAGAGGCUGAGUGGGUGCUGAUCUUCCAUCCCUGCCCUGAAGAACUAGGUGGGGCCCAAAUUCCCCUGCCCUUGGAGGGCCAGGAGGGUGAGUGCAGAGCUGAGCCUCCACUCCACUCAGCAUCCAUGGGGCUCAGCAACAUGAUUCCAGGUGGGAAUAGUAAGCACACCCACUUUCCUGCCACCCGUGUGGUCAGUGAGGACCUGCGUGAGCUGGAAUCUCUACACCCACCUGACAGCAAUGAGUCUGAAGGUGGAAGUGCAAAUCAGGGCCAGUCAGCAGUCCUGCCCACCCGCUCUUCUGUCCCCACUGAGCUGAGUUUCCAACCCUAGCUCUAAUUAAAUUGGACCCAGGAAGAUAAUCACAGCUCCUUUGCCAUUAUCAGGUUUUCAUAUGGGGUUUCAAUUGUUUAAGGCCAUGAUCUUAUUUUUUUUUUAAUUAAAUUCAGUUUUAUUGAGAUGUAUUCACAUAUCAUAGUCAUCCAUGGUGUACAAUAAACUGUUCACAUACCAUCCUGUAGUUAUGCAUUCAUCACC
This is a long non-coding RNA of Choloepus didactylus (southern two-toed sloth), 1287 nucleotides long. RefSeq lists it as uncharacterized. Lineage: Eukaryota; Metazoa; Chordata; Mammalia; Pilosa; Megalonychidae. The transcript is spliced from 3 exons. The record is from RefSeq and is a predicted model, not a curated record.